Sarcophilus harrisii (Tasmanian devil) is the source of this 279-nucleotide long non-coding RNA. RefSeq lists it as uncharacterized. The record is from RefSeq and is a predicted model, not a curated record. The transcript has 3 exons. Lineage: Eukaryota; Metazoa; Chordata; Mammalia; Dasyuromorphia; Dasyuridae.
CCGGCUCCCUCCCACAUUUCAAGAGUUUUCUUUUUAAAUUUGUAUUCUUUCUGUAGGAAGAGGGUUCGAGUUGGGAUCCAUCGGGAAGAGCUCCUCAUCUGCUCCUGCUCUCUCCCGCUUCCUGAUGCUGUGAUCUCAGGUUCAGCUAAGAAAGGAGAGUCCAGUUCUUCCUGAUAGUUGUAGCAAUUCCAGAACCGCCUUCCCCCUUGGAUAACUUUUGACCACAACGUGAAUCUGCACUGAACCCGGUAUCAUAGAAUGACGGCCCUCCUUGUAACA